This is a small nucleolar RNA of Ochotona princeps (American pika), 131 nucleotides long. RefSeq annotates it as small nucleolar RNA SNORA71. The record is from RefSeq and is a predicted model, not a curated record. The transcript has a single exon. Lineage: Eukaryota; Metazoa; Chordata; Mammalia; Lagomorpha; Ochotonidae.
CCCUGCAUUCGUAAGUGACCAUGACUGCCCGUGUCCUGGUCAUUGGUACUGCAGGCAGAGGAAAUGCGGAAGGGCUCACCCUGUGUUCGGAGGACUUACAUCCUGUCUCCCGUCUCUGGGAACUUCCCACA